RNAcentral lists this ribosomal RNA (253 nucleotides) under uncultured bacterium. RNAcentral describes it as "partial 16S ribosomal RNA". It matches the Rfam family "Bacterial small subunit ribosomal RNA", at positions 524 to 776 of the family's 1533-position model. The record is from RNAcentral.
GACGAAGGGGGCUAGCGUUGUUCGGAAUUACUGGGCGUAAAGGGCGUGCAGGCGGUUUGUUAAGUGCAGGGUGAAAGCUCCCGGCUCAACUGGGAGAGGUCCUUGCAUACUGGCAAACUCGAGGGAGGCAGAGGAAAGUGGAAUUCCCGGUGUAGUGGUGAUAUGCGUAGAUAUCGGGAGGAACACCUGUGGCGAAGGCGGCUUUCUGGGCCUUACCUGACGCUGAGACGCGAAAGCGUGGGGAGCGAACCGG